CCAAGCUCUCUGAAAGGGGUCUGUGAGGUGUUGGCCCUCCUGCUCGGCCAGCAUGAUCUUUCAAGCAUCAGGAUGCCCCGUCAACUUUGAAAGAUGGAACACCCAGAAAUAACAAUCAUUAAAAGGAGAAGAAAGGAAUGAUGGAAGAAAAAUUAUCAACAAUGGUGACAACAUCCUGGAUACUCCUGAGAAGAGAAACUGCCAAGUACAGAGACAUCGAAAAGGAUUUCCCACAGGAACAUUUGGAAGAAUUUUAGUACAAGUGCCCAGGCAGAAAGACACACUUACUUAUACUCACACUCAUACACGCACACUUGCACUCUCUCUCACACACACACACACAUCUACUCACACAUUCACUUAUGCACACAAUACUAAUUCACACAUAUUAGCACACUUACAGGUACAUAUACAUAUUCAGACAUGUACACAAUCAUAUUCACAUAGGCACACACACAUAGGAACACACCUAGAAUCAUUGAUACAUACGUAUAAGCACACACUCUGAGAAAUACACACUCUCACUUACACAUACAGCAACACACACUCACACACAUACACUCAUGCAUUCAUUCUCCCAAAUGCAUACACUUAAAUAUACACAUAAACUGAAACACACAAUGACCCAUACAUGUUCUCCAUGUCUUAAAAUGAUAAUUGUUCUACUGUGUAUAAUAUCAAGCAGACUGUGAGCAGAAUUUUAGGCCGUGCUAAUUACUAGCAUAAAGGAAAGAUUCUGAGAGAAGAGAAUGUGUGUUCAGUAGAUUCUUGAUCUGUGACACAGAGGAGGAGAUGAUCAGUCAUUUUUAUCCGAAACCCAGCUAAUGUUUCCCCGCCGUUUUUUCAUGGAGGUGUUACCUGAAGAAGGCUACAGCUAUCCACAGACUUCAACGCAGACAAAGGUGUCACAGCUGAAGAAGGUACCAUACAGGGAGGAAGAACCACAUGAGGAAACAGGAGCCCUAUAAGCUUACACUUGUGUUUUAUUCCUUGUUGCUUAUGCUCGAGACAAAAUACCUACCAGAAGUCAUCUCCAAAGAAGAAGGUGGGUGUAUGAGUGAAGCAGAGUGCCAUCAGUGAGCCCUGCGUCCUCUCCAGGAAACAGAAAUUAGCAUAAGGCCAUCUAAUAUGGAAAUUAAUAUCCCACGAUCUCUUACUCUGUGUACCUCAAGAACUGCAUAGACACAUGCAGCGUUAUUUUCUUUUUUAUUGAGGCAACUAAUAUUAAAAUAAAAAUAGAAUUAAUAAUUUAUUAGCCA
RNAcentral lists this long non-coding RNA (1259 nucleotides) under Mus spicilegus (steppe mouse). RNAcentral's name for it is "lncRNA (ENSMSIG00000028413.1)". Lineage: Eukaryota; Metazoa; Chordata; Mammalia; Rodentia; Muridae. The record is from RNAcentral.